This is a long non-coding RNA of Carassius carassius (crucian carp), 2338 nucleotides long. RefSeq lists it as uncharacterized. The transcript is spliced from 2 exons. The record is from RefSeq and is a predicted model, not a curated record. Lineage: Eukaryota; Metazoa; Chordata; Actinopteri; Cypriniformes; Cyprinidae.
UUCAAUCCAGAAGUAUUGUUUAGUGAAAAACAUGUUGGAGAUUAGCUGAUAGGCUCUCGAUUCAUUAAAUGAUCAGCUGUUUCCUCUAAAAAAAAAAAAAAAAAGGCCUCUGGUCUCCUUUCCCAUGUACUGGCAAACUGGAAGUGUUAGCUUUAGCCGUUACGCUUUUUUGGCUAAAGGUUGCAGGCUUGCUUUCUAGUGGCUUUGGUUCACCUCCUGAGUCUUCAGGUUCGAGUCGUUCGUUCAUCACGUGACAGCCCCAUAGACUUGACUAGAGGCUACACAGUUUGUACCGGAAAGAGAAAUGAUUAGUUCAUCUCCUGAGUCCUGGGGUCCGAGUCGUUCAAUCUUUUGUCAAUGUUUGCAUUAGAUGUGUUGGGGAAUUUGAAUAUUAACAUGUAUCAUUUUAAUUAUAUUCUGCUGAAUUGGACGAAAUUAACUAAAUGACUUGAAAAAGGAUUCGUUCAUUUUGCUGAACGAGAAUCAAAGAUCCGAGUCAGUAUAAUGAUCCGAACUUCCCAUCACUAGAACAUGAAAAUGCUGCUUGUAAUGUUAAAAUCCCAGCCAAUCAUAGAUAUAUGCUGAUUCUGAACCAAUGAGGAUUCUCAAGGGGUGGAGCCACCCUUCAUGACAAGAAACUGACAUUUGUAGAUUACAAUGGACUUGGAAAAUGUUGUACCUACAUUAUCGGGCUGAAUGUUUCCAGAGUAUCAUGAUUGUUUAGUUUUAUUUACAGUGGAAAACCCCUCUCAAAAUCACCAGUGAAUUCAAGAAUCAGGUUAGUUUUAUUUUCUUCACGACGUGUCUUUGCGUAUGAGAAAAUUGUUUUAAACGGACGGUGCGUUUUAAACAUUGGUCCAUUAAAACCAUUAUACCUGUAUCUCUCCAAAGGCCAUUUUUUUGGGAUUUUGUCUCAAUUUACACUUAUUAUUUACUCUAAUUUACCUUGUUUUAUCUAAUUCUAAUUUAUGUUAAUUCGGAGCUCGAAACGAAAUUCAGCAUUGAGUGCUGAAAAUCUAAUUGACCACCAAGUCGUUAAGACUGAUUGUGCAGGUGACAUUGAAAUAUUAAUUUUAAUAAUAAUAUCUAUGCAAAUUGGAAUACAAUUACUGAUUUGUCUGUACUUUUCCUGUGAAGAAAAAGUAGUGCUAUCUCUUCUUAAAAUCCUACAAACGCAUUUCUCAUACAAUUUGUGCUAGCAUGAGCUGAAUUAAUUAUCUUAAAAUGAAUUAUUAUCUUUAGAUUUAACGUAGACUCUUAAGAACUGUCUUUUCUCAAUUUUUUUCUACAGCUAAAAAGGAAAACGUCAAAUAUUCCUCCUCUUCUAAAAUAAAUAAUGUAUUCUGGCAUAUAUUUUAACAUCCCCUCUCAUAUUUUUUGUUAUUAAUGUGCGCAAACUUUUUAAAAUUAAAAAUAAAAGUUUUCAACUCGCUUGUUAUUAAUGGAGGAAAAACAACCCUUUUUUUAUUAAAUUUUUUUUCUCUCCCCUCUCAUACAUGAAAAAUACAUUCCUUUCUUAGUUUCAAGUUGUUGACAAUCGCUCAUCUGAACCCUGCACAACAGAACCUGCUGUCCACUGUGAGUUGUUAAUGCUGCCAUUUUUAUGGACACUAUAUUUAGUGAAUAUGAAUGAUGUCUCCCUGUUUUUUGCUUCUGUGUGGAACAGAGACUCUCUUGUUGUGACUCUGAGUCACAGAAAACCGGAUGGCCUUAAAAUAAACGAGGACUGAGCUCAUAGAGUGACUUGCACACUGAAUGUGAAGAAGAUUGUGGCUCAUGUUUACACCUAUAUGCUGUUGCCAAUGUGUGUGAAAUGCAACUAUUGUUUUUAGUGGAAUGUUCCAGAGCAAUGUUGAGUAUUUUCGGAGGAUUGCUGUAAGAUUGUGCAUAUAUACACUCUUAAAAAUAAAGGUGCUUCAAAAGGUUCUUCAAGCAAUGCCAUAGAAGAACCUUUUUUGGUUUAACUAUAAACCAUUCAGUCAAAUGUUCUUUAAAGAACCAUCUAUUUCUUACCUUUUUAUAAUCUAAAGAACCUUCUUUUGCCACAAGGUUGCCUUCAAAGGUUCUUUAUGGAAUCAUUUAGACAAAAAGGUUCUUCUAUGGCAUUGUGAAGCAUGUAUAUGUAUAUAUGUAUGUAUAUAUAUAUAUAUAUAGAGAGAGAGAGAGAGAGAGAGAGAGAGAACACAACCUCAUCAUGAGUAAUACAUCAUUUUAUAAAAUUGGUUGUGAAAUAUGCAUUAUAAAAAAUAAUGUGGAUUAAGUUGCAUAAAUGAACAUCGUACAAUAUAUGUCAAAACAAAAGAAAAAAAUAUUGUCUGAUUAAAUUGAAGCUACUGAA